Molecule: ribosomal RNA, 446 nt
Filed under: Klebsiella pneumoniae
Lineage: Bacteria; Pseudomonadati; Pseudomonadota; Gammaproteobacteria; Enterobacterales; Enterobacteriaceae
Description: partial 23S ribosomal RNA
Rfam family: Bacterial large subunit ribosomal RNA
Source: RNAcentral
GCGGGACACGUGGUAUCCUGUCUGAAUAUGGGGGGACCAUCCUCCAAGGCUAAAUACUCCUGACUGACCGAUAGUGAACCAGUACCGUGAGGGAAAGGCGAAAAGAACCCCGGCGAGGGGAGUGAAAAAGAACCUGAAACCGUGUACGUACAAGCAGUGGGAGCACCUUCGGGUGUGACUGCGUACCUUUUGUAUAAUGGGUCAGCGACUUAUAUUCUGUAGCAAGGUUAACCGUAUAGGGGAGCCGCAGGGAAACCGAGUCUUAACUGGGCGUUAAGUUGCAGGGUAUAGACCCGAAACCCGGUGAUCUAGCCAUGGGCAGGUUGAAGGUUGGGUAACACUAACUGGAGGACCGAACCGACUAAUGUUGAAAAAUUAGCGGAUGACUUGUGGCUGGGGGUGAAAGGCCAAUCAAACCGGGAGAUAGCUGGUUCUCCCCGAAAGCU